This 484-nucleotide ribosomal RNA is filed under the name uncultured bacterium. Its description in RNAcentral is "partial 16S ribosomal RNA". It matches the Rfam family "Bacterial small subunit ribosomal RNA", at positions 30 to 507 of the family's 1533-position model. The record is from RNAcentral.
AUUGAACGCUAGCGGGAUGCUUUACACAUGCAAGUCGAACGGCAGCGCGGACUUCGGUCUGGCGGCGAGUGGCGAACGGGUGAGUAAUGUAUCGGAACGUGCCCAGUAGCGGGGGAUAACUACGCGAAAGCGUAGCUAAUACCGCAUACGCCCUACGGGGGUAAGCAUGGGAUCGUAAGACCUUGCACUAUUGGACCGGCCGAUAUCGGAUUAGCUAGUUGGUGAGGUAACGGCCCACCAAGGCGACGAUCCGUAGCUGGUUUGAGAGGACGACCAGCCACACUGGAACUGAGACACGGCCCAGACUCCUACGGGAGGCAGCAGUGGGGAAUAUUGGACAAUGGGCGCAAGCCUGAUCCAGCCAUACCGCGUGUGUGAUGAAGGCCUUCGGGUUGUAAAGCACUUUUGGUAGGAAAGAAACGCAGCAGGCUAAUACCCCGUGGUACUGACGGUACCUGAAGAAUAAGCACCGGCUAACUACGUG